AGGGUGUUGUUUGGGGUGUUGGGGUGUUCCUAUGGGUGCUGGGGUGUUCCUAUGGGUGUUGGGGUGUUCCUAUGGGUGCUGGGGUGUUGUUUGGGGUGCUGGGGUGUUCCUAUGGGUGCUCAGGGUGUUAUUGGGGUGCUGAGGUGUUCCUAUGGGUGCUCAGGGUGUUGUUGGGGGUGCCGGGGUGUUCCUAUGGGUGUUGGGGUGUUCCUAUGGGUGCUCAGGGUGUUAUUGGGGUGCUGAGGUGUUCCUAUGGGUGCUGGGGGGGUUGUUUGGGGUGCUGGGGUGUUCCUAUGGGUGUUGGGGUGUUCCUAUGGGUGCUCAGGGUGUUAUUGGGGGUGCUGGGGUGUUCCUAUGGGUGCUCAGGGUGAUGUUUGGGGUGCUGGGUGUUCCUAUGGGUGCUGGGUGUUCCUAUGGGUGCUGGGUGUUCCUAUGGGUGCUGGGUGUUCCUAUGGGUGCUGGGUUGUUCCUAUGGGUGCUGGGUGUUGUUGGGGCCUGCUGGGUGUUGUUGUGGGUGUCGGGGCCUUGUUGCUUGGGCUGUUGCUAUGGGUGUUGGGCUGUUCUUUGGGGUGCUGGGGUGUUCGUAUGGGUGUUGGGGUGUGGUUGGGGUGUUGGGGUGUUGUUUGGGGUGUUGCUAUGGGUGCUGGGGGGGUUGAUAGGGGUGCUGGGGUGUUCCUAUGGGUGCUGGGGUGUUGUUGGGGGUUGUUGAGGCCUUGUUGCUGUGGUGUUGUUGCUAUGGGGCUGUAGUUACUAUGGGUGCUCAGGGUGUUGUUGCUCAGCCCCCCAUAUUCCCCCCCCUCUCCCCCCCAUAACCCCGGACCCAUAGGGACAGCCCUGACCCACUUGGAAAUGGGGCCAGGGCCUGGGGCAGCAUGGAGCCUGCAGGGCCUAUAGGGGGGCAGGGCCUAUAGGGGAGCAGGGCCUAUAGGGGGGCAGGGCCUAUAGGGGGGCAGGGCCUAUAUGGGAGCAGGGCCUAUAAGGGAACGGGUCCUAUAGGGGAGUAGGUCCUAUAGGGGAACAGGGCCUAUAAGGGGGCAGGGCCUAUAGGGGAACAGGGCCUAUAGGGGAGCAGGGCCUGUAAGGGAGCAGGUCCUAUAAGGGAACAGGGCGUAUAGGGGGGCAGGGCCUAUAUGGGAGCAGGGCCUAUAAGGGGGCAGGUCCUAUAAGGGGACCAGGGCCUAUAGGGGACCAGGGCCUAUAGGGGGGCAGGUCCUAUAAGGGAGCAGGUCCUAUAAGGGGACCAGGGCCUAUAGGGGACCAGGGCCUAUAGGGGGGCAGGGCCUAUAGGGGAGCAGGGCCUAUAGGGGAGCAGGGCCUAUAAGGGAGCAAGGCCUAUAGGGGAACAGGGCCUAUAGGGGAGCAGGGGCUAUAGGGGAACAGGGGCUAUAAGGGGGUAAGUCCUAUAAGGGAGCAGGGCCUAUAGGGGAGCAGGGGCUAUAGGGGAGCAGGGGCUAUAGGGGAGCAGGUCCUAUAAGGGAGCAGGGCCUAUAGGGGAGCAGGGCCUAUAAAGGAACAGGGCCUAUAGGGGAGCAGGGGCUAUAGGGGAGCAGGGUCUAUAGGGGAACAGGGCCUAUAGGGGAGCAGGGCCUAUAAGGGAGCAAGGCCUAUAGGGGAACAGGGCCUAUGGGGGAGCAGGGCCUAUAGGGGAACAGGGCCUAUAAGGGGGCAGGGCCUAUAGGGGAACAGGGCCUAUAAGAGGGCAGGGCCUA
RNAcentral lists this long non-coding RNA (1709 nucleotides) under Coturnix japonica (Japanese quail). RNAcentral's name for it is "lncRNA (ENSCJPG00005005925.1)". The record is from RNAcentral. Lineage: Eukaryota; Metazoa; Chordata; Aves; Galliformes; Phasianidae.